CAGGAACAUCUUUAGUGAGGCUCAAGCAAUGGUACCUGAUACAUUAUCCCAAAGGUGCAUCAGUACCUAUCAAAACCAAGAAAAUGAAUAUCCUGCAUCACACUUGAUGCACACAAUCUCACAAUUCAAUCAUAAUCAUCUUAAGUAUCUUUUCAAGUACAAGCAAUGAAUAAGAUGAAUGAAAAGGAUUGAAAAGAGUUUUAAAAGUCUAAGGGAACUUCCCUUGUGUUUUUGUGAGUUUCCUAACUCUCUCAAUGCACCAUCUUCAUGUCAUCAUCAACUUCUUGGAAAGGCAGAAUGGAUUGAUCAGCUUCUCCUCAAUCACCUCUCAUUGAAGCCGCAUUGAUGGAGAGCCUUCUUCCUCACUUGCCAAGGCUGCUCUGAACAGCCUCUUGCCUAGACACGCCAAUGACUUGGCCCGGUUGAUGAUCCUUGUAGAAGCUUUUGCAAAAGACUUGUUACUGACCAUGGAUCAUAUGCAUUAAGACUCCCCCUCAAGCUUAGAACCAAGACUAGAAGGAGCUAAGCUUGUGAUGAUUCUAUGCGUCUCCAUGGUCUAAUAACUAUCAUCUUUCAUGAUAGCUUUCUUCUUGUGAGUUUACUCUCUUCCUUAACCAGGAACUAGGGUGUUUGAAUCACCAUAGAGAGUCUCACAUGUCACACCUCUCAUUGCAUAAUGACCCAUGCUACACUUCCUGUAGACUAAGGACUAGAUAUGUCCAAUGGUAUUAUGCAAUGGCCAUCUCUCAUUGCAUACUCAAUCACACUACACUUCCUGUAGGUUAUGGACUAACAUGUCCUCAUGAUGAUAUGCAAUGGCACAAGACCCUUGUCUUUACAUUCUUGGUUGUUGGCGAGUUACAUGUAUCACAUUUCCUUGUGUACCUAACACCACCACAACUCAAUGCAAGAUCAGAUCAUCCCAUUGGGAUCAAACCAAGAUUAUCCAUCCUGUUUGAUCACCAAUGCCACAAUAAUAUGAUACUUGAAACAAGCUAGACAAUCAAGACAAUCAAGCAAAGACAAUCAAUUCAGUUUUUUUUAAAUGCAACAAUAGAUGAAUGCAUUAGGUUACAUACUAAAUAUAUGAAUGAAAUAGAUUCAACCCAAAUGAAACACAAGCCUAGAUGAUACUUAUGCAAUCAAGGCGACAAGAGUGACUCAAUUCAUGCUUAUGCUCACUAGUUUUAUCAAAGUCAAUGAUUCAAAUAGCUUAGACAUACUUCUAAAUGCUUAUAAGACAUCACUGAUUGAUUUAACUAUGGCAUAGCAACAAUCAGAACUGGACUGAGUCAAAACAAGCAGAUUUCAAUCUCUAACAAUGACAAUGCAAGUUCUAUUUUUAAGUUCUCUAAAUGCAAUGCAAGCUUACAUCAGUACAUUUGCAGUUUAGGCUCAUUUCUAAAUGCAAUAAUACAUGAAUGCACAAUCUUAAAAGCUUUAGCUAUAUGAAUGCAACAGGUUCAAUCCAUGAGCCAUAUCAAGACUAUGCACAACAGUUUCAAUCAAAACCAAUGAUGCAAGCACCUUAGACAAUUUCUAAUUGAUGCAAGACUUUCAUCAAUGGAUUAAACAUAGGCACUAGUAUCAUAUAACAACAGGAUUGAACUUAGACAGUAUGAGACGUGCUUAUGUAUGCAAAAUAGCUUAUCAAUCAUGAUGCAAGCAGCAGAGACAUUCUACUCAAUUCUACAAUACAUUCAUGAUGAUUUCAAGCUAUGGCAAUACACAAGACAAUGCAAUGAACAGAACAUGAGAUUUUGGGACUCUAGACAUUAUUACUUAAUAUCAAUAAGACAAUGCAGCAGCAAAAUAUUUUCAAAACAAUUAGCCUAGACAUUCUACUAGAAGUUAUAAACUCUUAAUGUAAAUUAGGGAAAGCACAGAGUAUAAUCAAGAGAUAGACCUAUCAAGACAUAUUAAAAUAGAUGAGACUAGGUUUACUCCCUUGUUUAAGAUGGUGAGGAGUGGUCUCUUCAUUUCGCCACUUGAGUCCUCACUUGCUAAGCUUAACAGCUUCUCCUUUCAUCACACAAGCUCACUAACAACCUUGUGGGAACACCUCCAUCUUCUUCAGACUUGAUGCUUACUUCCCCACUUAACCACCAUUGCACUGAGGAGAUACCUCAGCUUACUCUCCAAGUACUUCUUAUUAGAAGCUCAUUGAGUCGCUUUCUUCUUCCCUCUACUUCGGCUGCAUCUACACAUGAUCAGCUUGCAAUGGCCUUGAGGAACCAGGUCAUUGAGCUUAGAGGAUCUUCUGGUAGCUCACUUGAAUCCUCACCUCAAACUUGACUUAGUGUAGGUGCAAGCUUGAAGUGAGCCUCAAUGAGACUUCAAACCGGGAGCGCAUCACUACCUACAGCUGCGCUUAACCCAACCGAUCUGCCAUUGCCUUCAGCUCCAAUGCCUUCAGGUCAUCAGUCUCCCCAAGACUUAGGUGAUGACCUUUACUUGUGUGUCUCCAUGAACCAGGAGCACAUCACUAUCACUAGCUGCGCUAUCUUAACCGGCCAUACACACAAGUCUUUCUCCAUUGCUUUAACAAUGGCAAAGUCUUCCUCUUCUACUUGGAUGGAUGGUGAGCAAGGAACACUUCUUGUGAACCUGAAACACCACUCAAACUCCAGCAAAGAUAACACACAAAGGUAUUGGAAUCAAUCCUUGAAAUAUCAUCAAGGUUGAUCACCAAUAUCACAAGCAUUGCAACAGAUUACACAAGACAUAUUCAAGUUCUAAUCUUUGCAAGCAAUUUCUCUAAGUAUAUGCAAGAUCUAAACAGAUUCAAUACAAGUUACUUAGACAAUUUUAACUUCUGCCUUAACUACAUCUUAGACUUGAAUCCAAGUGCAUCAACCUAAGGCAGCAACAACACUCUAAGCUUUAUUAUACUACUCGGUUUCAAUCAAUGAAAGUAACCAGGAUCAGACACAUCUAGUAUCCUAUACAAUCAUUGUAGAACCGAGGCAAGCUUUACAACUCUCAAUCACCAUUCACAACUCUCAAGUAUCUUGGGACAGAUUCUAAACAUUUCAUAUCUAGCAAUCUUUAAACAUCCACAAGUUUUCAAUCACAUCACAACAUCACAACCUGUUCAUACACUCAAGCUUUAUACAAGAGAAAGAGAUUUCCUUACAGCCAAGGAACUAGUGUUAGUUCCUUGAAACUCCUUAGUACAUGGGAAGAUCCGAGCUGUUGGUGUCAACUCCUACAUCUCCUUCUUUCAUGGACCUUUCUCUUGAACCCACCAUGCCUAAGACACCUCCUCUCUUCAUUUUUUGAGUCGCCAUACCAGGUACAAGUUGAAAGCUUUCACCUUUCUUCUUGGACAGUGAAUGGGAAUGGCUUGGACAUGCUUCCAAUGGCCUUCUUUCUUCAGGACGACCAUGAGAGAGUAGAGAACGACCAAGAACAGCUUCUGGACGCCAUUGAUGAGCACACCUUCUUCUUGAAGAGGUUGAACAGCCAAAUGAACAUGAAGCUUCUUCUUGGUUUGGAAAUGGCAUGGGAGUGAGCUUUGAGCUUAGCGGAAGCUGGAACCAAGUUCUAAUGAACCUGGCUCUGAUACCAUAUGAGAUUUAAGAGUACUCAGGUUGUAUGGUUGAACCUAUGAGAUUUAAGAGUACUCAGGUUGUAUGUGUGUAUGAAACCCAAAUGGGUAAAGAGAGAGAGAGCUUGGAAGCGAUUUGAGAGAAAAGAAGUUUAAUGAGUGUUUGUGUGUCUAAGUGUUUAAGAGAUUAGUGACCAGACUAAGAACGUGUAUAGAGAUUCAGGAUGAGAGACUAGAGAGACUAAGAGAAAGUGUUUCAGAUUAGAGAAGGAGAAGGGAAACCCCCUUACUCACUUAAGAGUUACAAAACAUCACUUAUGAGCUUAUAUAUGCUCUUUACAACUUGCAAUCAUAAACCUAAAUCUAAGGGCUGUUAUAACUUGAAUUUAAAUGGAUGGAUGAGAUGGAAAGAUGGUCUUGGUCGUGGCUGGCUCUUCCUAAUGGAUAAUUGGUCCAUUUGAAUCUGGUCAAGGGAAGGCUGGCUCCUUAUUGGCUAGCUAAAGGCUCCCAUGAAUCUGACCACUUCUUUUGCUAGAUACAUGGUCUCCUUUUGCUUUUACUUUACAGCAAGGGACUCUCCUUUCCAGCCUGUCACUCGCCAGCCUCUCCUUUGUCUUCUUCUCUUAAGAGUUUUGUCUUCUUCUCUUAAGAGUUUUGUCCUUUUCUCUUAAGAGUUUUGUGUUCUCUUACUGUGGUAACUCUCCAAAGUUACUGUGGUAACUUUGGAGUUACUGUCUCAACCAAAUAUUCUCCAAAUGGUGUCUAAGUACCUCCUGGACUUAAACCCAAUCUUGCACAGCCAUAAGAUCACUUCUUGACUUCUUAAGACCCUCCUGAAGCUUGACAGGCAAUCUCUGUAAGACUUGCCCUCUCUUUGCACUAGAACCAAACUACUCCAUACUUCUCCUUUCACUCCAUUUCUAUUCUUCAAGUUAACAUUCUAGAGCUUGCCCUAUCAUUGUAAAGCUCCAUCUUCUCUUCCGUUCAACAUUCAGUUCAACACUCCCCCUCAAGCUUGACUCUAGGAGAUCCUGAGCCAAGCUUGGAACCCUGAAGAGUCUCCCUCAUUAAAAACCUUGCAAAGAAAACCCUGUGGGACAAAACUUUGCAAGGGAAAAAGAGUAGAGCUCUUAAGGGCCUAGGGAUUGGCCAGUGAGCUCUUGUGCCUUAGAACCAGUGUGGUUGGACACCAGAAGCUCUGGAUCACGGCCUAAUAGGUGCAGCAACUCAACACAGCUUCGCGCACACUUCACACUUCAGCUUCACCUCUUCAUGGAACCGGUUUGAAGUCUCCCCCUCUCAACUGACUUCACAGCCAUUUUAGAGAAGCUAGGACACGACCAGAUCAUCUUCAAAACACCAGUAAGGCUGAUCAACACUUCACACACGGCUUGCCCUCUUCAUUGAACUGGUUUGGGUCUCCCCUUCUCAACAGACUUCUCAGCCACCUUAGAGAAGCUAGGAACUGACCAGGAACAUCUUUAGUGAGGCUCAAGCAAUGGUACCUGAUACAUUAUCCCAAAGGUGCAUCAGUACCUAUCAAAACCAAGAAAAUGAAUAUCCUGCAUCACACUUGAUGCACACAAUCUCACAAUUCAAUCAUAAUCAUCUUAAGUAUCUUUUCAAGUACAAGCAAUGAAUAAGAUGAAUGAAAAGGAUUGAAAAGAGUUUUAAAAGUCUAAGGGAACUUCCCUUGUGUUUUUGUGAGUUUCCUAACUCUCUCAAUGCACCAUCUUCAUGUCAUCAUCAACUUCUUGGAAAGGCAGAAUGGAUUGAUCAGCUUCUCCUCAAUCACCUCUCAUUGAAGCCGCAUUGAUGGAGAGCCUUCUUCCUCACUUGCCAAGGCUGCUCUGAACAGCCUCUUGCCUAGACACGCCACUGACUUGGCCCGGUUGAUGAUCCUUGUAGAAGCUUUUGCAAAAGACUUGUUACUGACCAUGGAUCAUAUGCAUUAAGACUCCCCCUCAAGCUUAGAACCAAGACUAGAAGGAGCUAAGCUUGUGAUGAUUCUAUGCGUCUCCAUGGUCU
This 5578-nucleotide long non-coding RNA is filed under the name Brassica napus (rape). RNAcentral's name for it is "long non-coding RNA (BNAP_LNC008364)". Lineage: Eukaryota; Viridiplantae; Streptophyta; Magnoliopsida; Brassicales; Brassicaceae. The record is from RNAcentral.